UGUUCCAGGCGCCGGAGCACUGUGUCACACCCGAGGUGACGGAAGGGAAAGUGUUGUCCUCACUGCACAGAGCCGAGUUUGAGGCUCGGCAGUGUCGCUGCCCGGUGUCACCCGCCGCGGGGGCCGGGCUGGGGACCACGGAGUUCGGGUCCACCCCCCCACCCCACCCCCGUGUCUCCCGGCCUAACUCCGCCAGCAGGCUCUGAUGGCGGCGGCUGCGCUGUUGGACCCGGCGCAGGGAUCAGCGACCAUUGAGGAUGUGGCCAUGACCUUCCCUUGGAGGUCCUGGCCCAAAAGACUGAGCCCAAAGGUCCCUGUACCAGGAGGUGAUGCUGCAGACCUAGAUAACCUCUCACUGGUCCGGCUUUCCUGCAUGGGCAUCCUGGAGGCAGGAAAGGACCACCUGAGCCUCUCUUUCCCUCACCUUCUCACCCCAGUGCCCAUCAUAGGCUGGCCUCAAUCUGAGAUCCUUAUCCCAGAUUUCCACAAGAAGGAAGCUGGCUGGCCCAGGGGUCAGAGGGUCCUCAGAGCCCCCACAGCAGGGGCCCUUGGUGAUGAACUAUUUUCCAAGAAGAAAGGUGAGCCUGGCGUCCAGAAGGCAUUUACCGUUACUGCCCCUUGGUAUCCUUUAGCGGAAAACACAGUCUCAGUUAAAGGUUUAAAGCUCGGGGGCGCCUGGGUGGCUCAGUCAUUAAGCGUCUGCCUUCGGCUCAGGUCGUGAUCCCGGGGUCCUGGGAUCGAGUCCCUCAUCGGGCUCCCUGCUCCGUGGGAAGCCUGCUUCUCCCUCUCCCACUCCUCUUGCUUGUGUUCCCUCUCUUGCUGUGUCUCUCUCUGUCAAAUAAAUAAAAUCUUAAAAAAAAAAAAAAAAAAAAGGUUUAAAGCUUGGUUGUUCCCAGAGGCCUACCUCCCAGGGCUGUUCUUCAUUUCCUAUGGUAUGGACCAAGAUCCUCCAGUUACACGAGAUGACUGUAGAGGAUGCACAGACCACUCAUCAAAUGGCACUGGCAUCUGGAAAAAACUGUUCCUUUCUCCCCCUUUUCUUGUGGGUUCAGUGUCAAGAGAAGAAGCUACCAUUCCGCGAGUGUAGCUCACGUGUCACACCUGCCCCACUCAUUUCAUUAUCCCAGCCUCUCAGGGUUUGGUAAGGAAGGAAAAGUCGGCCAGUAUAGUGAGUCUCAAUUUAGAAGAUGGCCCUUGACU
Long non-coding RNA from Mirounga angustirostris (Northern elephant seal), 1200 nucleotides. RefSeq lists it as uncharacterized. The record is from RefSeq and is a predicted model, not a curated record. The transcript has 3 exons. NCBI's taxonomy places the organism in Eukaryota, Metazoa, Chordata, Mammalia, Carnivora, Phocidae.